UCCGCAGUAGCUCAAGGGUAGAGCGGGUGACUGUUAAUCACUAGGUUGGGGGUUCAAAUCCCUCCUGCGGAGCCA
RNAcentral lists this transfer RNA (75 nucleotides) under Deltaproteobacteria bacterium ADurb.Bin510. RNAcentral's name for it is "tRNA-Asn". It matches the Rfam family "tRNA". From Rfam's summary of the family: Transfer RNA (tRNA) molecules are approximately 80 nucleotides in length. Their secondary structure includes four short double-helical elements and three loops (D, anti-codon, and T loops). The record is from RNAcentral. Lineage: Bacteria; Deltaproteobacteria.